Molecule: long non-coding RNA, 1422 nt
Filed under: Coffea arabica (coffee)
Lineage: Eukaryota; Viridiplantae; Streptophyta; Magnoliopsida; Gentianales; Rubiaceae
Description: long non-coding RNA (CARA_LNC001795)
Source: RNAcentral
AUUAGAACUAGAAGGGCAUAAAAUGGAUCCAGCUGUUUCUGUACCCAGUGUAACUGCAGCCAUAUUUGCUGCUACUGAUGUUGCAGAACCGGUGCUUGAGCCACAUGGAUUAGCAGAUUUAAGGUAUGGAUUCUACAUCGAAUCAGAUCCACAAAAUGGAAUUAUAUAUCUGUACCAGAAAUUCUAAUUGACCUGGAAAUGCUGCAUAGGAAAUCAACUUUUUGUUUCCUAAGCUACAAAUUAUUGAAAAAAUAGAACAAGAGAAAAAAAAAAGGAAACUUUUGACUGAUAUAGUUGCAUGAAAUUUUGGGAACCAAAUGAAGAAUAUCAGCAACUCACCACACUUUGGCCACGUCUAGCAUUCCAACCAUUAGGCACAUUGUUUGACCUGAAUGCAGCCCAUUCUGUCAUGCUAGCCUUUCCUAAUAUAAUUGCACCAACCUUCCUUAGCUUCUUAACCACCCCAGCGUCCUGAGGUACAAUUGAUCCAAGAAGUGCAUAAGAUCCAGCUGUUGUGUUAAGCUUGUCCUUGGUUGCAAUGUUGUCCUUGAGCAGAAUCGGGAUACCAGCCAGUCCUGUCACCGAUCCUGGCUUCUUUGCUUUUCGAUCCUGGUCUGCCUUGUGGGCUAAAUUCAGAGCAUCUGGAUUCACUUCUAUGACUCCAUUAAGAACUGGAUUUAGUUUCCUAAUCUCUUCUAGGUAGAAUUCAACCAAAUCCUGAGAAGUGAGUCUGUUAUGAUCCAAGGCAAUCCGAAUAUCAUGCACGGUAGCUUCUCUGAAUGAGAAUGGACUUCCCUCAGCAUUAUGACCAAGGCCAAGAAUAGUCGUACUCAAAAGAAUUAGUAGCCAAAUAUCCAUAUUAGACAUGCAGAAAAACUAUUUCUCGCUUCUUGAUCUUUCUGUGAUAUUCUGAAGUAGCUACUGAUAAAUAAGUAGCCAAUAGAAUGUCUUUAAAUGCCAGCUUGAAUUCCACAUUCAAAGGCUAUCCGAAUAUCAUCCUCUGCUGUUGUUUUCUUGGCCAUGUUUUCCAUGAUAAAGACAUUCUGUUGACUGAUUUUUAUACCUGGUAUAAGCACUUUUGGAGUAAAAAACAUAUAUAAAUAAAAGUGAAUUAUUAUUUAUCGUUUAGACCAAAUAAUCCCUAAAAAUUUAUACAUAGCUGCCUCAUGAUUUGAGGUAAAGUAUCAUGGUGAAUUUUUCUAUUAAAACUAACAAUCAACAUAAAAAAAUAUAAGUAUCAUGGUUAAUUUUUCCACCAUCUUUGUACUACUUUUUUUUUCCUUUUUGUUUUUCCUUUGGGAAGGGAAGAGAUGAUGUACUCAUAAAAGAAGACAAAGACAUUGCCAAUCAUUCCAUUGGUAAAAACAAAGGCCACCAUUAAUUGAAUGGCUUUAUUCAGCGACAACAUGUGAAUAACAACAU